UCGGCUUAUGAAUUUCUUAAACUUGGCCCCUACCAGAAUCAUUCUCGCGAGUACCCUCGUCAAGGUAUCCCAUUGAGACCGCCAAGGCUGUUAAAUGACCCAUACCCAUAAACAUGUUUUCACAUCUGACACAGUCGUUCCUUGGCGUUGGCUGAGUCUCACUCUCACGUGGUGGCCCGAACGUGAGGUGCACUCAAAUCUUACCUCAGGAGAUACUUCAUCCAACAUCUCCCCCCGGAGGUAAUUAUAUAAUUGGGUUACCGUACCCCUCUCAUAGGUAGUCAACGAAAACCCCCACCACUGCAGUGACCGUUUAAUAUACCACCAGACCCAAAAAAAUUCCAGUAGCAUAAUAUGGCGAAUAAAAUGUAAUUCAGUCUACUGAGACCAAUCCAAACCUAUUCAUAUAUU
RNAcentral lists this long non-coding RNA (411 nucleotides) under Theobroma cacao (cacao). Its description in RNAcentral is "long non-coding RNA (TCAC_LNC006431)". The record is from RNAcentral. Lineage: Eukaryota; Viridiplantae; Streptophyta; Magnoliopsida; Malvales; Malvaceae.